Molecule: long non-coding RNA, 1347 nt
Filed under: Homo sapiens (human)
Lineage: Eukaryota; Metazoa; Chordata; Mammalia; Primates; Hominidae
Description: HSALNT0102351
Source: RNAcentral
GGGUGACAGAGCAAGAUUCGGUGACAAAGCAAGAUUCCAUCGCAAAAAUAAAGAAGGAAAAGGAAGGAAGGAAAGAAAGAAAGGGAAAGAGAGAGAGAAAGGAAGAGAAAGAAUGAAGAAAGAAAGAAUUUUUUGUUUUUACAAAUUUUGUGUAGCCUAAGUGUACAGUGUUUCUAAAGUCUACAGUAGUGUACAGUAAUAUCCCAGGCUUUCACAUUCACUCACCACUCACCAACUCACCCAGAGCAACUUCCCGUCCUGCAAGCUCCGUUCAUGUCUUUUAGAGUUGGCCCAAGGGGCCAUUAAUCACUCUGUCUGGAGCCGGGAGAGAACCCUCAGGAAAGAGGGGAAAGUGCAGCGAGCGGCUCUGCGAUGGCGGCGAUGAUGAAGGUGCUGUCCACCAGGCCGGAAGCAGGCGCAGACCCUGUCUUGGGAUGGAGAGCGCCAUUUCCCGCCUCACUGGCCUGCGCCUCAGGCACUCGAGGACAUCAAGCAAAAUUCACAGCCAGGCCGGGAACUCGAGGAACGCUGUAUUGAGGCACAGUGUGAAUGCCACAAGAUCAGUCCCCAGAGAAUCAACCUAGAAGCCUGAGUGCAAAUAUGGAAAAGGCCAAGCCCUGCCGAUCUCCCUGGACCCUUGGUAGAGGGAGCCCAGUGCCCCUUCCUGCUCUGCACCUUUCUGGCAGCCCAGUGCCAGGGCACCACCAGGCCCCUGCUGUGAGCCAAGGUCAGGAACCAAUGAAAAUAAGCUUGGCCUUGGGAGUAUAUAUACAUUUUGCUAUUAAUAGUGUUAAAAUUAAAUUUCCCUCUCUCAAGAGACCUAGGUAUGGGAACUUGGUUUGCCAUAACUGUCUGUACCUCCCUUGGUGGGGGUGUUAUCCCAUUGUGUCCAGGUCCUCGGCUAGAGAAGUGGGAAUCUAGUACUGUCGGGUGCUAGGUCCUCAUUUGUUCUCAAUUGCCUCCUCUUUUUAUCAAUGCAGCCCUUCUGCUCAUCCUUCCUUCAAAAAGACCAUUGGCCAGGCACAGUGGCUCACACCUGUAAUCCCAACAUAAUCCCAACACUUUGGGAGGCUGAGGUAGCAGAUCACUUGAGGCCAGGAGUUCAAGACCAGCCUGGUCAACAGGGUGAAACCCAUCUCUACUAAAAAUACAAAAAUUAGCCAGGUGUGGUGGUGCACGUCUGUAAUCCCAGCUACUUGGAAGGCUGAUGCAGGAGAAUCACUUGAACCCGGGAGGCAGAGGUUGCAGUGAGCUGAGAUCAUGCCACUGUACUGCAGCCUGGGUGACAGAGUGAGACUCUGUCUCAAAAAAAUAAAUAAAUGAAAUGAAAAUAAAAAUAUCCCAUCC